RNAcentral lists this ribosomal RNA (522 nucleotides) under uncultured bacterium. RNAcentral's name for it is "bacterial SSU rRNA". It matches the Rfam family "Bacterial small subunit ribosomal RNA", at positions 777 to 1297 of the family's 1533-position model. The record is from RNAcentral.
AAUAGAUACCCUGGUAGUCCACGCCGUAAACGAUGAGUGCUAAGUGUUAGAGGGUUUCCGCCCUUUAGUGCUGCAGCUAACGCAUUAAGCACUCCGCCUGGGGAGUACGGUCGCAAGACUGAAACUCAAAGGAAUUGACGGGGGCCCGCACAAGCGGUGGAGCAUGUGGUUUAAUUUGAAGCAACGCGAAGAACCUUACCAGGUCUUGACAUCCUCUGACAACUCUAGAGAUAGAGCGUUCCCCUUCGGGGGACAGAGUGACAGGUGGUGCAUGGUUGUCGUCAGCUCGUGUCGUGAGAUGUUGGGUUAAGUCCCGCAACGAGCGCAACCCUUGAUCUUAGUUGCCAGCAUUUAGUUGGGCACUCUAAGGUGACUGCCGGUGACAAACCGGGGGAAGGUGGGGAUGACGUCAAAUCAUCAUGCCCCUUAUGACCUGGGCUACACACGUGCUACAAUGGAUGGUACAAAGGGCUGCAAGACCGCGAGGUCAAGCCAAUCCCAUAAAACCAUUCUCAGUUCGGA